GAUGAACGCUGGCGGCGUGCCUAAUACAUGCAAGUCGAGCGAACGGACGAGAAGCUUGCUUCUCUGAUGUUAGCGGCGGACGGGUGAGUAACACGUGGAUAACCUACCUAUAAGACUGGGAUAACUUCGGGAAACCGGAGCUAAUACCGGAUAAUAUUUUGAACCGCAUGGUUCAAAAGUGAAAGACGGUCUUGCUGUCACUUAUAGAUGGAUCCGCGCUGCAUUAGCUAGUUGGGAAGGUAACGGCUUACCAAGGCAACGAUGCAUAGCCGACCUGAGAGGGGGAUAGGCCACACUGGAACUGAGACACGGUCCAGACUCCUACGGGAGGCAGCAGUAGGGAAUCUUCCGCAAUGGGCGAAAGCCUGACGGAGCAACGCCGCGUGAGUGAUGAAGGUCUUCGGAUCGUGAAAAUCUGUUAUUAGGGAAGAACAUAUGUGUAAGUAACUGUGGACAUCUUGACGGUAACUAAUCAGAAAGCCACGGCUAACUACGUG
RNAcentral lists this ribosomal RNA (497 nucleotides) under uncultured bacterium. RNAcentral's name for it is "partial 16S ribosomal RNA". It matches the Rfam family "Bacterial small subunit ribosomal RNA", at positions 28 to 507 of the family's 1533-position model. The record is from RNAcentral.